RNAcentral lists this ribosomal RNA (521 nucleotides) under Penicillium crustosum. RNAcentral describes it as "eukaryotic LSU rRNA". The stretch from base 155 to 307 matches the Rfam family "5.8S ribosomal RNA". Lineage: Eukaryota; Fungi; Ascomycota; Eurotiomycetes; Eurotiales; Aspergillaceae. The record is from RNAcentral.
CCACCUCCCACCCGUGUUUAUUUUACCUUGUUGCUUCGGCGGGCCCGCCUUAACUGGCCGCCGGGGGGCUUACGCCCCCGGGCCCGCGCCCGCCGAAGACACCCUCGAACUCUGUCUGAAGAUUGUAGUCUGAGUGAAAAUAUAAAUUAUUUAAAACUUUCAACAACGGAUCUCUUGGUUCCGGCAUCGAUGAAGAACGCAGCGAAAUGCGAUACGUAAUGUGAAUUGCAAAUUCAGUGAAUCAUCGAGUCUUUGAACGCACAUUGCGCCCCCUGGUAUUCCGGGGGGCAUGCCUGUCCGAGCGUCAUUGCUGCCCUCAAGCACGGCUUGUGUGUUGGGCCCCGUCCUCCGAUCCCGGGGGACGGGCCCGAAAGGCAGCGGCGGCACCGCGUCCGGUCCUCGAGCGUAUGGGGCUUUGUCACCCGCUCUGUAGGCCCGGCCGGCGCUUGCCGAUCAACCCAAAUUUUUAUCCAGGUUGACCUCGGAUCAGGUAGGGAUACCCGCUGAACUUAAGCAUAUCA